RNAcentral lists this ribosomal RNA (707 nucleotides) under uncultured Burkholderia sp. RNAcentral describes it as "bacterial SSU rRNA". It matches the Rfam family "Bacterial small subunit ribosomal RNA", at positions 61 to 763 of the family's 1533-position model. The record is from RNAcentral. Lineage: Bacteria; Pseudomonadati; Pseudomonadota; Betaproteobacteria; Burkholderiales; Burkholderiaceae.
GUCGAACGGCAGCACGGGAGCAAUCCUGGUGGCGAGUGGCGAACGGGUGAGUAAUACAUCGGAACGUGUCCUGUAGUGGGGGAUAGCCCGGCGAAAGCCGGAUUAAUACCGCAUACGCUCUACGGAGGAAAGGGGGGGAUCUUAGGACCUCUCGCUACAGGGGCGGCCGAUGGCAGAUUAGCUAGUUGGUGGGGUAAAGGCCUACCAAGGCGACGAUCUGUAGCUGGUCUGAGAGGACGACCAGCCACACUGGGACUGAGACACGGCCCAGACUCCUACGGGAGGCAGCAGUGGGGAAUUUUGGACAAUGGGCGAAAGCCUGAUCCAGCAAUGCCGCGUGUGUGAAGAAGGCCUUCGGGUUGUAAAGCACUUUUGUCCGGAAAGAAAACCUCUGGGUUAAUACCCCGGGGGGAUGACGGUACCGGAAGAAUAAGCACCGGCUAACUACGUGCCAGCAGCCGCGGUAAUACGUAGGGUGCAAGCGUUAAUCGGAAUUACUGGGCGUAAAGCGUGCGCAGGCGGUUCGCUAAGACAGAUGUGAAAUCCCCGGGCUUAACCUGGGAACUGCAUUUGUGACUGGCGGGCUAGAGUAUGGCAGAGGGGGGUAGAAUUCCACGUGUAGCAGUGAAAUGCGUAGAGAUGUGGAGGAAUACCGAUGGCGAAGGCAGCCCCCUGGGCCAAUACUGACGCUCAUGCACGAAAGCGUG